Molecule: unclassified non-coding RNA, 3790 nt
Filed under: Hevea brasiliensis (rubber tree)
Lineage: Eukaryota; Viridiplantae; Streptophyta; Magnoliopsida; Malpighiales; Euphorbiaceae
Source: RNAcentral
AGAGAGAGAGAGAGAGAAAGGAGCUCCUUGAGAGAGCAAUAGCCACAGGGGUUUUGUGGGUUGCCAUGUGGUUAUUGCCCUUCUCAAUGGAAUCGGAUUUUGGGAGAAUUGGUUUCAUGCUACUACGAAUUGUUAUGGGUUGCAAAGUGGAUAUUUCAAUAGUCAGAGUGUUUUGGAUUUGAAUACCUUGGCUUCAAAAAGCAAAGAGAAGCAAGUUUUGUGGAUUUAGGAUUACAUAUGUUUCAGCAUUUAGGGUGCUUAAUUGGUAUUAAUCCUAAGAUUGGGACACAGAAGAGGUUGCCCAGUUCGAAGCCAUGCCAAACUAAAAUUAAACCGAUUGACAUGUUGGAUACUGUGCAAGAAAUUGCCAUUUACAUACAUAGGUUUCACAACCUUGACCUUUUUCAGCAAGGGUGGUAUCAAAUUAAGAUCAGCGUGAGAUGGGAAGACAGUGCGUAUACUUCUUUGGGAAGUCCUGCAAGGGUUGUUCAAUGUGAACCUCCUGAUUUGGGUUUUGAUAACACAUAUGGAGUAUGGAGGAUUAAUGAUGCUGACAACAGUUUCUCAACGCAGCCUUUUCGAAUUAAAUAUGCCAGGCAGGAUAUUCUUUUAUCUAUUAUGAUCUCUUUCAAUCUACCUCUUGGUGAUAAGUGUCCAUCUACAUCUGCUGUUAUUUUGAAGUUUGAGCUUUUGCAAGCCCCUGCAUCGGAGGAUGGGCUUGAGUUGCUUGCUUAUCUAGAUGCUUCCACUGUUGCGGUCCAUGAAUUUCGAAUUCCUCCGAAAGCUCUUUUGGGAUUGCAUUCAUAUUGUCCUGUCCAUUUUGAUGCAUUUCAUGCUGUGCUAGUUGAUAUAAGCGUUCAUACCAGUCUAUUGAAGGCCAGCUCUUACAUGAAGGUAUCCAGUGAUUCUUGCACCCAUGAAGAUGUUGCUGGCAAACGGAUUGAUAGGUUCAAUCAAUCAAUAGGUCAAGUGGUUUCUGUAGACAUGAAGCAGAUCACGCUUGUUAAAACAUUAUUAGUUGCUCGUGACACAUUGCUUGAAGGGCUACAAAAACUUAGCAAAGCCAUUGACCAAGCUAUUGAUUUAACUGAUUUUUCCAAAAUGAAUGAUGAGGGGAUGUUUGAUUGCAUCUUGCGACCAAAUCUGAGCACUGUUGAUGGUGAAGUUUCAGGACAAGGCAAGCCACAAAAUGUUCUUGAGAAGUCAAGCAGCAUUGCAGAUUGUCGAAAUGAUGUGUUGCCCUGCACUUUAUCAGAGGAUACUGUUGUUAACAUUUUCCAUUCCCUCGGUGCUCAAUUAUCGUACUUAUGGAACACUUUUCUGCAGUUUCACAGGAUAAACAAAACAAAAAUAUUAGGGUUUCUGAGUAUGACAUGGGCUAAGGAUCGAAGAGCUGAAUGGUCAAUAUGGAUGGUUUGCUCAAAGGUUGAGAUGCCUCAUCAUUACAUAAGCAGUCGAAAUGAUGAAUUUUCCCACCCGACUGUCCCAAAAAGAGUUUCGAGCUUGUGGAAGUUACCUGAUGAUCCUGCCCAAACUUUGGCCACACGUGCUGAGCUUCAUCGGCGAAGUAUUGCACAAAUGAAGGUGAGCUAUUUAUCAAUAUUUACUGAUUAAUUAUCAGUUUAAUCAGAGAAUGUUUUAUUUCCAUGCUGAGCUAUGUAUCCACAUUUUCUGAUCUCCAUCGGCAUAGUAUUAUCAAUCUUGGUAAAUUUUAGUUCUUUGGAGAACAUUUUAUUUCCGUGCAGAUCAAUAAUCAGUCAAUUCAAGACAUGCAUAUUUUUGGAGAUCCUCUUCGAAUUCCUAUCAUAAUUGUGGAACGUGUCAUGAAUGCACCCCGGCGUGCUCUAAGUGAAAAUUCUUACUUUAGAAAUGUAGACCUGAUAGAUUCACCUGUCUUGCUUUCUACACCCAGCGUUGAAGCUGGAAGAAUCCUAUCUAGUUCCAACCUGAAGCAGAAUGGUCGUGAGUUGAAGGUUGUUGUCUUUGUGCAUGGAUUUCAGGCAAGAUUCUAUGGCUUCACUUGGAUAUCUAAUUUCUGUUACUAUAUUUUACUUUCCUCUUCAUUCCUUACUUUUGUUUGUUAUUCUCUUUUUCUUUAAAAUAAAAAAUGGUUUUACUAUUUUAUUUUUGUUACAUGAACUAUUGUCAUCACUUCAUCUCUUAUUGGUUGGUUGCAUAAAUUAUUUGACCAUUUGAGUCUCUUAUAUAAAUAUGUGUUAAUCCUCUUACCCUGAAUUGGUCGUAUUUCCUGAAAUUUAAUAUCAUUGAACUUUUGGUUAAUAUAUUUCUCAUUUGUUUCUUUCAUGUUUUGCUGUCAGCCAAGCAUUCUUUAUUCUCUACUGUUUCUCAAGAAAAUCUUUUACAAAGUCCCUCGAAUUAUAUUGCAGUUUAAGCAUGUUUUAGUGCAUUAAUUUUAUUUGUAUCAAAACCAACGCAUUAGGGGCAUCAUCUGGAUUUACGGCUUGUUCGAAAUCAAUGGCUUUUAAUAGACCCCAAGAUAGAGUUUCUCAUGUCUGAGGUAAAUGAGGACAAAACAUCUGGAGACUUCAGAGAAAUGGGACUAAGGCUGGCUCAGGAAGUGGUCUCUUUUCUUAAAAAGAAAAUGGAUAAAUUUUCUAAGUCCUGCAAUUUGGGAGGUAUCAAGCUUAGCUUUGUCGGGCAUUCUAUUGGAAAUAUCAUUAUAAGAACAGCAUUAGCAGAGACCAUCAUGGAACCAUACCUAAGAUGCCUCUACACGUAUGUAUCUAUAUCUGGUCCACACAUGGGGUACCUUUACAGUGCGAACUCUUUAUUUAACUCUGGAAUGUGGCUUUUGAAAAAGCUCAAGGGAUCACAAUGCAUUCAUCAGCUUACUUUCACUGAUGACCCAGAUCUUCGCAAAACUUUCUUGUACAGACUUUGUGAGCACAAGACAUUAGAGAGCUUCAGACAUACAAUACUGCUAUCUUCACCCCAGGAUGGUUAUGUGCCUCAUCAUUCUGCCAGAAUUGAACUGUGCCAGGCUGCUUCCUUGGACUACUCGAAAAAAGGUGCUGUAUUCCUGGAGAUGCUGAAUAAUUGCUUGGAUCAAAUACGGGCCCCAACUGCUGAGAAUCGGCUGUUCAUGCGUUGUGAUGUUAACUUUGAUACCUCCUCCUAUGGCAGGAGCUUCAACUCAUUGAUUGGGCGGGCCGCCCAUAUCGAGUUUUUGGAGUCCGACAACUUUGUGAAGUUCAUAAUGUGGUCAUUUCCAGAACUAUUUCGUUGAUUUCCAGGGAAGUCACGUACCAUCUCCACCCUACCAGUGUUGCUGGUAUCUUCUGUAGGUGAUUCACUUGGUUAUCUUUUGACAAGGGACAGGCAAAAAUGGAUUGGGAGGUCAGGUAGCGAACUUGUGGCAGCUGCACUCUUCCGUAUCAACAUGCAUAUUCUUGUUGACCUACAAUGUUGUUUGCGUGCUGUUCGACAGCAAGUUGGUCGGGAAUGAGAUUUGAAGUCAUCAUUUGUUUAUAAGUAAAAUAUGACUCAUGGUUUCGUGGACAGUAGUGUAAUUAUUUUAGGUUAGGUAGAAUGCUUAUAUAAAAUUAGGCCUUUGCCUAUUUGGUUCCAAUGUUUGCCAGAUAACAGGAUUGUGCGUGAAAACAGUUGAAGUGAAGAAACUCAAUAUAGCAGCUAUCCAGUUUACAUGUUAUAAUAAUGUUUAUCAUAACAAAUUUUAUUACUUGCUCUUUUUUAAUCUAUUUUGUAAAAUUUCUCUGUAAAUUUUUCUUUGAUCUUGGAAAUGCAAUUAUGUAAACUAUGGUUAUUCUUC